This 1386-nucleotide ribosomal RNA is filed under the name Trichoecius sp. n. AD367. RNAcentral describes it as "eukaryotic LSU rRNA". It matches the Rfam family "Eukaryotic large subunit ribosomal RNA", at positions 98 to 1269 of the family's 3401-position model. Lineage: Eukaryota; Metazoa; Arthropoda; Arachnida; Sarcoptiformes; Myocoptidae. The record is from RNAcentral.
AAGGAAACUGUCCAGCGCCAAGUCUUGACACUUUGGUGAUCAAGAGAUGCGGCGUUAAUGAGUUGGCGCAUCGUGCAUCGUUCCAUGUUUCAAGUCCCUUUGAAUGGGGUUUCCAGAGCGGGUGCAAGACCCAUAGAAACUAGGAACCGAUGUAUGCAGGCCAAUUCAUAUUAGAGUCAGGUUGCUUGAGAGUGCAGCUUAAAGUCGGUGGUAAACUCCAUCUAAGACUAAAUAUGACAGCGAGACCGAUAGCAAACAAGUACCGUGAGGGAAAGUUGCAAAGCACUUUGAAGAGAGAGUCAAAUAGUACGUGAAACCACUGGAAGGCAAACAGAUAGAACCACGAAGUUUGCGCCUCGGGCGAUUCAACUAUUGUCACUUAAUAUUGUUGUCUGUUAUGGGUCUCUUUGGAGAUUGUUCAGAUGGCAUUGAUUGAGUGUCACUGGUGCAUUUCGAUCCGAGGAUGCUAAGCCACGUUCGACUAGAGUUGAAACGACUGUAAGACRGGAUCCAAGAAAGGUGGCUGUCAAGUGCUUGCAUUUGAUAGCGUUAUAGUCUUGGAUCGGAAUCGUUUCUAACAUGCUGGUCGAUAGAAAUUCUCUACGGAGUAUAAAUCGUAUCUGCCUACGAUCGACAGUCGGCAYUUUGURAUUGUUUUAGCGUGUUUUCGGAUGCGAUAAAWCGUUGCAACARUGUCGGCUAGCGGUUGUUUGCGUGAUACGAUAGAACUGUGGCGCGAGUAGGUCGGUYUCUAUCUGACCCGUCUUGAAACACGGACCAAGGAGCCUAUCAUAUACGCGAGUCGCUCGGUCUUGUUUAGGCCAGAGAGGCGCAAUGAAAGUAAAGUUACGAAGCUUCGGCUGCAGUAAUGGCUCGCCUACUUCGUUUUUUCGGCGAUCAGGCGAAGCUGGAGCGUAUACGAUGGUACCCGAAAGAUGGUGAACUAUGCCUGGGCAAGACGAAGCCAGAGGAAACUCUGGUGGAAGUCUGUAGCGAUUCUGACGUGCAAAUCGAUCGUCAGACCUGGGUAUAGGGGCGAAAGACUAAUCGAACCAUCUAGUAGCUGGUUUCCUUCGAAGUUUCCCUCAGGAUAGCAGGCAUUUAUUUAAAUCAGUCUCAUCCGGUAAAGCUAAUGAUUAGAGGUCUUGGGGUUGAAACGACCUCAACCUAUUCUCAAACUUUGAAUGGGUGAGAUGGUUGACUUUCUUGAUUUGAAGCCAACCAAUUGGAUGUGAGUGCCUAGUGGGCCAUUUUUGGUAAGCAGAACUGGCGCUGUGGGAUGAACCAAACGUCGAGAUAAGGCAUCRAAUGCAUACGCUCAUCAGACCCCAUAAAAGGUGUUGGUUGCUAUAGACAGCAGGACGGUGGCCAUGGAAGUCGGAAUCC